GACUCGUCUACUGGAGAGAGGUCGCAAGACCCACCGAAGGGGCAACGCGCACGGAUGAGCGCGCAAACUCUCAGGUAACCGGACAGAGGGAGGGAC
This 96-nucleotide non-coding RNA is filed under the name Marinobacterium stanieri. RNAcentral's name for it is "Glycine sequence". It matches the Rfam family "Glycine riboswitch aptamer". Rfam says of the family: This family represents the bacterial glycine riboswitch. The record is from Rfam by way of RNAcentral. Lineage: Bacteria; Pseudomonadati; Pseudomonadota; Gammaproteobacteria; Oceanospirillales; Oceanospirillaceae.